UUUGCCACGUACGCACCGACACUGUAACGACCACUUGUCACUCUCGCUUCUCGAAUCUCAAUGUGAACCUCUCAAACUACAUUCCAAAUCAGAAAAUACAUCAAAUUUGAAAACCGAAAAAAUUAAAAAAAAAAAAAAAAGCCACCUCUCCCGGCCAGCCCCUAAAAGCCCCCGUCCGAAACAAGCUCGGUCACGUUUAUUUUCUCUCUCUGAAACUACAACUAAAGCUAAAUUUUUUUCUUUCCAAAAGUGCCAACCAUCACAAAAGUACCUUUUCUUUUGCAUCUGUUCAAAUUUCGUAUAUCUCGAUUUUGAAUCUGUGAAAUGUGCUUUUGGAGAACGAUUGAAGAUAGAAACAAAGAAGAAGAGGUUACGUAAGAGUUAGGAUUUAGUUUUUCUUAAUAUUUUUUUGGAGCAAAAAUAUGAGAUUGUUACUGAUGAAUCAAGUUCGGCGAUGGCAAAGGAUCAUGAUUCUCUCCUUGCUCUCUGUUUCGAUGCUCGCUCCGAUUGUGUUUGUCUCAAGCAGACUUAAAACCUUCAGUCCCGUCAGUAUGCUUCCGUAAACAUACUCGUGAUUCAAAUAGUUUUCUCUCUGUGAUGCGUAUAUGAAUAUUUAAAUGAGAGAAGAAAGCUUUAGUGACGAUGGUGUACCUCACACACUGGAAUUGAUGAUAUAUAUCUAGUCAGAUUUAAUCAGAUGUCGACGAUUUGAAUAACGAUCGUGUUUGGAAAGAAAGAGUUCAUGGCUGACUUGUCUACUACCGUAUGAGUCUAUUCUUUUUGAAUCUCAGUUUCCUAUUUGCUUCUUACUCUGUUUGUUUUCUGGCAAAAUAGAGAAAUUGUAAUACCUCUAGGUAAUAAAAAGGCUAAUUUGGUCAUUUUGUUAAUAUUUAGUAUGUUAUUUAUUGCUCAAAUAAUUGGAUUUAAA
Long non-coding RNA from Mangifera indica (mango), 928 nucleotides. RefSeq lists it as uncharacterized. The transcript has 2 exons. Lineage: Eukaryota; Viridiplantae; Streptophyta; Magnoliopsida; Sapindales; Anacardiaceae. The record is from RefSeq and is a predicted model, not a curated record.